UACGUAGGGUGCAAGCGUUAAUCGGAAUUACUGGGCGUAAAGCGUGCGCAGGCGGUUAUGUAAGACAGGUGUGAAAUCCCCGGGCUCAACCUGGGAACUGCAUUUGUGACUGCAAGGCUAGAGUACGGUAGAGGGGGAUGGAAUUCCGCGUGUAGCAGUGAAAUGCGUAGAUAUGCGGAGGAACACCGAUGGCGAAGGCAAUCCCCUGGACCUGUACUGACGCUCAUGCACGAAAGCGUGGGGAGCAAACAGG
Molecule: ribosomal RNA, 253 nt
Filed under: uncultured bacterium
Lineage: Bacteria
Description: partial 16S ribosomal RNA
Rfam family: Bacterial small subunit ribosomal RNA
Source: RNAcentral